GUCUUUGACUAUACCACCCUGAACAUGCCCAAUCACGUGUUCCCAGAAGCUAAGCAAGGUUGGGCCUGGUUAGCACUUGGAUAGGCAAAUGAGACCACAUAGCAUAUGAGGAGA
Molecule: ribosomal RNA, 114 nt
Filed under: Nannospalax galili (Upper Galilee mountains blind mole rat)
Lineage: Eukaryota; Metazoa; Chordata; Mammalia; Rodentia; Spalacidae
Source: RNAcentral